This 1074-nucleotide long non-coding RNA is filed under the name Accipiter nisus (Eurasian sparrowhawk). RNAcentral's name for it is "lncRNA (ENSANIG00000008802.1)". Lineage: Eukaryota; Metazoa; Chordata; Aves; Accipitriformes; Accipitridae. The record is from RNAcentral.
AUGGCUGGCAUCGCGCCCCCCGGCGCAGGGCAGGUUUGGACCCCAUCCUGCAUCACCCCGUGCUCGCGAGGGCACUUUGCAAACAUCUUGGCAACCACAAGAGCGACGCUCGAGCGGUUUCGCGAUGGUUAUCAAAACCCCAAGGAGCAAAUACAGCCGUCUAUCUCCCCCUCGGCAUCUCCGCGCCGGGGCCGCCAGCGCCCUGGCAGCCCGGCGAGGCCAGGCGUGCCGUGUGGGUACCCCGCGCCCUAUCGCCCCGCUAUCUCCAAACCGACCCGCCGAUGGGGUUACGGUCGGGGUUCCGCCUCCCAGAUUGGGUUUGUGGGCGCUCGUCCGCUGGGGCGCCCGGCGAGCGGACGGAGACGGGUCCGGGAUGGGGAACUGAGACCCCCCAAGGGUGGAUGUGCCGUAUUUCGGGCCACCUUCGUGCUGCCAGCCCCCACCCUGUUCCCAGGGGGCCUCCCGGCUAGGCGAUGCCGGUUGGAUUCGGUUUCGGAGCAGCGCGUGAUGGGAAGGGCUGACCGCGAUGCGGGACAGCGAUCGCCCUUCUGCGAUGGACGCAACGGGAGGGGAUCCCCACGUUUCCCCAAAGCCGCCAGCCUCCCGCGUGGGCUGGGCGAUGGAGAAGCCCUGGGAAAUGCCGGCCGGCAGCGCACGUGCUCCCGCAGCUGCCAAAAUCCCCACGGUGCGGCGGGGAGCUGUGGCUCCGCUCCCCCUUCCCACCCCAUCCGAGGGGAAGCUCUCGCCAGCCCCGCUGAUAUCCCGGCCCUUCCUGCGUGCCGGCCAGGAAGGAGCUGCGAGGCCACCCCCCGGCUCCUCCUUAUCUGCUCCCCAGACCUUUGCCCCCGGCUCCCGGCCUGGCAUCCCGGUCGGUGUAGGGCGGGAGGGGGCUGCGAUGCCAAACCCGCGGGCGUCCCAAUAUCCUGGGGGUCACAGCACCGCGGAGCCCCGUAUCCCGGCAGGCUCCCCAAAAGGGACCACAAAGCCUCGGCUCUGGCCGUGCCUCCCCUUCACACACACGCCGCCCCCCCCACCUUCCCUCGGCGGAGCGGGUUAUUUGCAUUCUUUAUGUAA